Molecule: non-coding RNA, 108 nt
Filed under: chicken gut metagenome
Description: SAM riboswitch (S box leader)
Rfam family: SAM riboswitch aptamer (S box leader)
About the family: The SAM riboswitch is found upstream of a number of genes which code for proteins involved in methionine or cysteine biosynthesis in Gram-positive bacteria. The SAM riboswitch acts at the level of transcription termination control. The predicted structure consists of a complex stem-loop region followed by a single stem loop terminator region.
Source: RNAcentral
UCUUAUCAAGAGAAGUGGAGGGACUGGCCCUUUGAAACUUCAGCAAAAGACUUUUAAUUUGAAAGUACUGUGCUAAUUCCAGUAUCGCGUUUGCGGUGGAAGAUAAGA